UAGGGAAUCUUCCGCAAUGGGCGAAAGCCUGACGGAGCAACGCCGCGUGAGUGAUGAAGGUCUUCGGAUCGUAAAACUCUGUUAUUAGGGAAGAACAAAUGUGUAAGUAACUAUGCACGUCUUGACGGUACCUAAUCAGAAAGCCACGGCUAACUACGUGCCAGCAGCCGCGGUAAUACGUAGGUGGCAAGCGUUAUCCGGAAUUAUUGGGCGUAAAGCGCGCGUAGGCGGUUUUUUAAGUCGGAUGUUAAAGCCCACGGCUCAACCGUGGAGGGUCAUUGGAAACUGGAAAACUUGAGUGCAGAAGAGGAAAGUGGAAUUCCAUGUGUAGCGGUGAAAUGCGCAGAGAUAUGGAGGAACACCAGUGGCGAAGGCGACUUUCUGGUCUGUAACUGACGCUGAUGUGCGAAAGCGUGGGGAUCAAACAGG
RNAcentral lists this ribosomal RNA (429 nucleotides) under Actinomycetes bacterium. Its description in RNAcentral is "Actinobacteria bacterium partial 16S ribosomal RNA". It matches the Rfam family "Bacterial small subunit ribosomal RNA", at positions 355 to 776 of the family's 1533-position model. The record is from RNAcentral. Lineage: Bacteria; Bacillati; Actinomycetota; Actinomycetes.